UACGGGAGGCAGCAGUGGGGAAUAUUGCACAAUGGGCGCAAGCCUGAUGCAGCCAUGCCGCGUGUAUGAAGAAGGCCUUCGGGUUGUAAAGUACUUUCAGUCGUGAGGAAGGUGUUAAGGUUAAUAACCUUAGCAAUUGACGUUAGCGACAGAAGAAGCACCGGCUAACUCCGUGCCAGCAGCCGCGGUAAUACGGAGGGUGCGAGCGUUAAUCGGAAUUACUGGGCGUAAAGGGCACGCAGGCGGUUAAUUAAGUUGGAUGUGAAAUCCCCGGGCUUAACCUGGGAAUGGCAUUCAAGACUGGUUAGCUAGAGUCUUGUAGAGGGGGUAGAAUUCCAUGUGUAGCGGUGAAAUGCGUAGAGAUGUGGAGGAAUACCGGUGGCGAAGGCGGCCCCUGGGACAAAGACUGACGCUCAUGUGCGAAAGCUGGGGAGCAAACAGGAUUAGAUACC
This 452-nucleotide ribosomal RNA is filed under the name uncultured bacterium. RNAcentral's name for it is "bacterial SSU rRNA". It matches the Rfam family "Bacterial small subunit ribosomal RNA", at positions 340 to 786 of the family's 1533-position model. The record is from RNAcentral.